This 964-nucleotide ribosomal RNA is filed under the name uncultured bacterium. Its description in RNAcentral is "bacterial SSU rRNA". It matches the Rfam family "Bacterial small subunit ribosomal RNA", at positions 536 to 1500 of the family's 1533-position model. The record is from RNAcentral.
GGAAGUUUUUCGGAUUCCUGGGCGUAAGGGCACGUAGGUGGUCAGGCAAUUCGGUCGUGGAAUGCCGACGCUCACCGUCGGCACGCCGGUCGAAAAUACCUGACUCGAGGGCGUGAGGGGUCGCUGGAACUCCUGGUGGAGUGGUGAAAUGCGUAGAUAUCAGGAGGAACGCCGGAGGCUAACGUGAGCGACUGGUGCGUCCCUGACACUGAGGUGCGAAAGCUAGGGGAGCAAACAGGAUUAGAUACCCUGGUAGUCCUAGCUGUAAACGAUGGACACUAAGUGGGGGAGGGUUAACCCUUCUCUGCUGCAGCUAACGCGUUAAGUGUCCCGCCUGGGGAGUACGGCCGCAAGGUUAAAACUCAAAGGAAUUGACGGGGGCUCGCACAAGCGGUGGAGCAUGUGGUCCAAUUCGAUGCAACGCGAAGAACCUUACCCGGGCUUGAAGUGGAGGUGGUAGGAACCGGAAACGGUAACGACCCCGCAAGGGGAGCCUUCAUCAGGUGUUGCAUGGCUGUCGUCAGCUCGUGUCGUGAGAUGUUAGCUUAAGUGCUGUAACGAGCGAAACCCUUGUCCUUAGUUGCGACCUCGCAAGAGGGCACUCUAGGGAGACUGCCCGCGCUGAGUGGGAGGAAGGUGGGGAUGACGUCAAGUCAUCAUGGCCCUUAUGUCCGGGGCAACACACGUGCUACAAUGGCGUGGACAAAGGGUUGCCAAGCCGUGAGGCGGAGCCAAUCUCAAAAACCACGCCCCAGUUCGGAUCGGAGGCUGCAACUCGCCUCCGUGAAGCCGGAAUCGCUAGUAAUCGCGGAUCAGCCACGCCGCGGUGAAUAUGUUCCCGAGCCUUGUACACACCGCCCGUCAAGCCACCCAAGCACGAGGUACCUGAAGCCCGUUGCCUAACCGCAAGGAGGGCGCGGUCCAAGGUAAAGCGUGUGAGAGGGCUAAGUCGUAACAAGGUAAC